This 31-nucleotide non-coding RNA is filed under the name Rattus norvegicus (Norway rat). Lineage: Eukaryota; Metazoa; Chordata; Mammalia; Rodentia; Muridae. The record is from RNAcentral.
UAGAGUUCGGAGCCAACCUCAACCUGGUGAA